UACGUAGGGGGCUAGCGUUGCUCGGAUUGACUGGGCGUAAAGGGCGCGUAGGCGGCUUGGCAAGUGGAAGGUGAAAUCCCUCGGCUUAACCGAGGAACUGCCCUCCAAACUGCUUCGCUUGAGACCGGGAGAGGUGAGUGGAAUUCCCAGUGUAGCGGUGAAAUGCGUAGAUAUUGGGAGGAACACCAGUGGCGAAGGCGGCUCACUGGACCGGUACUGACGCUGAUGCGCGAAAGCGUGGGGAGCAAACGGG
This 253-nucleotide ribosomal RNA is filed under the name uncultured bacterium. RNAcentral's name for it is "partial 16S ribosomal RNA". It matches the Rfam family "Bacterial small subunit ribosomal RNA", at positions 524 to 776 of the family's 1533-position model. The record is from RNAcentral.